RNAcentral lists this ribosomal RNA (1202 nucleotides) under Curvularia muehlenbeckiae. Its description in RNAcentral is "partial large subunit ribosomal RNA". It matches the Rfam family "Eukaryotic large subunit ribosomal RNA", at positions 48 to 1321 of the family's 3401-position model. Lineage: Eukaryota; Fungi; Ascomycota; Dothideomycetes; Pleosporales; Pleosporaceae. The record is from RNAcentral.
UUCGGGAGUAAGACCAACAGGGAUUGCCCUAGUAACGGCGAGUGAAGCGGCAACAGCUCAAAUUUGAAAUCUGGCUCUUUCAGAGUCCGAGUUGUAAUUUGCAGAGGGCGCUUUGGCUUUGGCAGCGGUCCAAGUUCCUUGGAACAGGACGUCACAGAGGGUGAGAAUCCCGUACGUGGUCGCUAGCUAUUGCCGUGUAAAGCCCCUUCGACGAGUCGAGUUGUUUGGGAAUGCAGCUCUAAAUGGGAGGUAAAUUUCUUCUAAAGCUAAAUAUUGGCCAGAGACCGAUAGCGCACAAGUAGAGUGAUCGAAAGAUGAAAAGCACUUUGGAAAGAGAGUCAAACAGCACGUGAAAUUGUUGAAAGGGAAGCGCUUGCAGCCAGACUUGCUUGCAGUUGCUCAUCCGGGCUUUUGCCCGGUGCACUCUUCUGCAGGCAGGCCAGCAUCAGUUUGGGCGGUGGGAUAAAGGUCUCUGACACGUUCCUUCCUUCGGGUUGGCCAUAUAGGGGAGACGUCAUACCACCAGCCUGGACUGAGGUCCGCGCAUCUGCUAGGAUGCUGGCGUAAUGGCUGUAAGCGGCCCGUCUUGAAACACGGACCAAGGAGUCUAACAUCUAUGCGAGUGUUUGGGUGUCAAGCCCGAGCGCGUAAUGAAAGUGAACGGAGGUGGGAACCCGCAAGGGCGCACCAUCGACCGAUCCUGAAGUUUACGGAAGGAUUUGAGUAAGAGCAUGGCUGUUGGGACCCGAAAGAUGGUGAACUAUGCUUGAAUAGGGUGAAGCCAGAGGAAACUCUGGUGGAGGCUCGCAGCGGUUCUGACGUGCAAAUCGAUCGUCAAAUUUGGGCAUAGGGGCGAAAGACUAAUCGAACUAUCUAGUAGCUGGUUCCUGCCGAAGUUUCCCUCAGGAUAGCAGUAACGUAUUCAGUUUUAUGAGGUAAAGCGAAUGAUUAGAGGCAUGGGGGGUUGAAACAACCCUUCACCUAUUCUCAAACUUUAAAAUAUGUAAGAAGCCCUUUGUUACUUAAUUGAACGCGGGCAUUUGAAUGAAACGUUAUUAGUGGGCCCAUUUUUGGUAAGCAGACUGGCGAUGCGGGAUGGAUGACCGAGGGGUUACGGUGUCGAAGUACACGGCUCAUCAGACACCCACAAAGCUAUUGGAUUCAUCCUAGACCAGCCAAGGAACGGGUGUGGCUCAAUGUGG